CCUCCGUCCCCAAAAUAAGUUCUUCUUUGGGGACGGCACAGGUUUUAAGAAAAAGUGGUAAAGUGUAUUGAUAGUAGAGAAAAAUAUAUUAUAAUUAGUAUUGAGAGUGGUGAAAAGUUGAAAAAGUGUUAUAAUUAGUAUUGGGAGUGGUGAAAAAGUGAAAAGUAAGAAUAAAUAAAGUAUUAUUAGUGGUGGGGUAGUUGUCCAAAAAUGGAAAGAAAGAAAGAGGAACUUAUUUGGGGACGUCCCAAAAAGGAAAAAUAUGAACUUAUUUUAGGGACGGAGGGAG
RNAcentral lists this long non-coding RNA (289 nucleotides) under Salvia miltiorrhiza (redroot sage). RNAcentral's name for it is "long non-coding RNA (SMIL_LNC003478)". The record is from RNAcentral. Lineage: Eukaryota; Viridiplantae; Streptophyta; Magnoliopsida; Lamiales; Lamiaceae.